AGUUUUUUUUAUAUUUAGAUGUAAAUGUCAGAUGAAAACAUAACCUCUAAAAAAUGAGGUGCUAAAAUAACCAUUAGGAGGGCGAGAAAUGUAACGAAAUACUUUAUUCUUUGAUAAUUAAGGAGUAUUUAGGAGAUGAAAAAUGUGAUUUAAACUUUAUUUGGAAAUGUUUUUAUUUAUUUAUUUAAACAUAGAGGUAGAGAUAGGACAAGUCCCAUUAGGAACUACCUCACAACUACAUAUGUAAUUUAACAAUAGAAAGACCACUACAAGUUGCAGUAACUAUUGAUCAACCUGAACAAGAAGUGAACAGAAUCGAUAGGAAAGGUGUUUUAGAAACCUCACCUGAACUCUCUCUAUUCUAUUAACAUAAACAUUAUAGUGAAGAUUCCAAACAGUGUUUCUGAAACAAAAUAUUAUUUACAAAGGCAUUAUUUAGGGCCUAUAUUUCAUUUGACAGAUAACUUAAAGUGACAGCAACCACUUCACGUUAUGAUAAUUACAGAAAUCUGUAAUUUAAACAUGUUUUAUAGGCAAUGUGUUAGUAAAAGAUUCAAACGAACGCAUUACAAAUCCCAGCAUCCUAUUAGCUCAUAAAUAAUCUCAAAAGAGAAGAUUAUCAGUAAAUUCUACUGCAUCUUGAAAACGCUUGACAAAU
This is a non-coding RNA of Onthophagus taurus, 658 nucleotides long. NCBI's taxonomy places the organism in Eukaryota, Metazoa, Arthropoda, Insecta, Coleoptera, Scarabaeidae. The record is from RefSeq and is a predicted model, not a curated record.